RNAcentral lists this long non-coding RNA (268 nucleotides) under Homo sapiens (human). Its description in RNAcentral is "non-protein coding lnc-C11orf54-3:1". The record is from RNAcentral. Lineage: Eukaryota; Metazoa; Chordata; Mammalia; Primates; Hominidae.
GCCAGGCGUGGUGGCACACGCCUGUAGUCCCAGCUACUCGGGAGGCUGAGGCAGGAGAAUCACUUGAACCUGGAAGGUGGAGGUUGCAGUGAGCUGAGAUUGCACCACUGCACUCCAUCCUGGGUGAUAGAGUGAGACUUUGUCUCAAAAAAAAAAAAAAAAAAAAUUUGAGACAGCAUCUUACUCUGGCUUAGACUGGAGUGCAGUGCAGUGGUGGAGUCAUAGCUCACUGUAACCUGGAACUGCUGGGUUCAAGUGAUCUUCCUGC